AUUGAACGCUGGCGGCAUGCCUUACACAUGCAAGUCGAACGGUAACAGGUCUUCGGAUGCUGACGAGUGGCGAACGGGUGAGUAAUACAUCGGAACGUGCCCAGACGUGGGGGAUAACGAGGCGAAAGCUUUGCUAAUACCGCAUACGAUCUAAGGAUGAAAGCAGGGGACCGCAAGGCCUUGUGCGUUUGGAGCGGCCGAUGGCAGAUUAGGUAGUUGGUGGGAUAAAAGCUUACCAAGCCGACGAUCUGUAGCUGGUCUGAGAGGACGACCAGCCACAAUGGGACUGAGAAACGGCCCCGAAUCCUACGGGAGGCAGCAGUGGGGAAUUUUGGACAAUGGGCGAAAGCCUGAUCCAGCAAUGCCGCGUGCAGGAUGAAGGCCUUCGGGUUUUAAACUGCUUUUGUACGGAACGAAAAGGCUCUGGCUAAUACCUGGGGCACAUGACGGUACCGUAAGAAUAAGCACCGGCUAACUACGUG
This 482-nucleotide ribosomal RNA is filed under the name uncultured bacterium. RNAcentral describes it as "partial 16S ribosomal RNA". It matches the Rfam family "Bacterial small subunit ribosomal RNA", at positions 30 to 507 of the family's 1533-position model. The record is from RNAcentral.